CCUACGGGAGGCAGCAGUCGAGAAUCAUUCACAAUGGGGGAAACCCUGAUGGUGCGACGCCGCGUGGGGGAAUGAAGGUCUUCGGAUUGUAAACCCCUGUCAUGUGGGAGCAAAUUAAAAAGAUAGUACCACAAGAGGAAGAGACGGCUAACUCUGUGCCAGCAGCCGCGGUAAUACAGAGGUCUCAAGCGUUAUUCGGAAGUACUGGGCGUAAAGCGGGCGUAGGCGGUUUCGUAAGUCGUGUGUGAAAGGCGCGGGCUCAACCCGCGGACGGCACAUGAUACUGCGAGACUAGAGUAAAGGAGGGGGAACCGGAAUUCUCGGUGUAGCAGUGAAAUGCGUAGAUAUCGGGAGGAACACUGGUGGCGAAGGCGGGUUCCUGGACAUUAACUGACGCUGAGGCACGAAGGCCAGGGGAGCGAAAGGGAUUAGAUACCCCUGUAGUC
Molecule: ribosomal RNA, 446 nt
Filed under: uncultured bacterium
Lineage: Bacteria
Description: partial 16S ribosomal RNA
Rfam family: Bacterial small subunit ribosomal RNA
Source: RNAcentral